AACCAGACUCCUACGGGAGGCAGCAGUGGGGAAUAUUGCACAAUGGGAGAAACCCUGAUGCAGCGACGCCGCGUGAGUGAAGAAGUAUUUCGGUAUGUAAAGCUCUAUCAGCAGGGAAGAAGAUGACGGUACCUGAUUAAGAAGCCCCGGCUAACUACGUGCCAGCAGCCGCGGUAAUACGUAGGGGGCAAGCGUUAUCCGGAUUUACUGGGUGUAAAGGGAGCGUAGACGGUGAUGCAAGUCAGAAGUGAAAGCCCGGGGCUCAACUCCGGGACUGCUUUUGAAACUGUGUGACUGGAGUGCAGGAGAGGUAAGCGGAAUUCCUGGUGUAGCGGUGAAAUGCGUAGAUAUUAGGAGGAACACCGGUGGCGAAGGCGGCUUACUGGACUGUAACUGACGUUGAGGCUCGAAAGCGUGGGGAGCAAACAGGAUUAGAUACCCUAGUA
This 446-nucleotide ribosomal RNA is filed under the name uncultured bacterium. RNAcentral describes it as "bacterial SSU rRNA". It matches the Rfam family "Bacterial small subunit ribosomal RNA", at positions 329 to 792 of the family's 1533-position model. The record is from RNAcentral.